AGAAUCAACGCUGGCGGCGUGCCUAACACAUGCAAGUCGAACGAGAAAGUGGAGCAAUCCAUGAGUACAGUGGCGUACGGGUGAGUAACACGUGACUAACCUACCCUCGAGUGGGGAAUAACCUCGGGAAACCGGGGCUAAUACCGCAUAAUAUCUUCGGAUCAAAUGCGUAAGCAGCUUGAGGAGGGGGUCGCGGCCGAUUAGCUAGUUGGCGGGGUAAUGGCCCACCAAGGCAAUGAUCGGUAGCCGGCCUGAGAGGGCGCACGGCCACACUGGAACUGAAACACGGUCCAGACUCCUACGGGAGGCAGCAGUGGGGAAUUUUGCGCAAUGGGGGGAAACCCUGACGCAGCAACGCCGCGUGGAGGAUGAAGCCCCUUGGGGUGUAAACUCCUUUCGAUCGGGACGAUUAUGACGGUACCGGAUGAAGAAGCACCGGCUAACUCUGCGCCAGCAGCCGC
RNAcentral lists this ribosomal RNA (461 nucleotides) under uncultured bacterium. RNAcentral describes it as "SSU rRNA". It matches the Rfam family "Bacterial small subunit ribosomal RNA", at positions 26 to 518 of the family's 1533-position model. The record is from RNAcentral.